UAUUUCACUGCACUUCUCUCAACUCAAUGCAUUCUUCUUCAUUUCAUCUUCAUGUCUUCAUGACAAUAUUUAUUACUUCAACUCAACACAUGAAACAUAGAAUAGAUCCAAAAACAUUAAACAAUCAAUAACAGAACUAAUGCCCUACAAUUUUCUCACCAUGAAACAUAAGAAAUCAUACUAUACUAUCAAAAAUAAAUAGAAUAGACCUAGAAGGAUGUUCCACAAAAAAUACAUGUUCGGAUCCACCAAACAUGAAGUUAGGCCAACCGUUUUCCAAGAGAUUCCACACCACCGAAAGCAAAUAAGUAGUGGCCCCUAUUCUGAAUCCGUACUCGUUUUCGAAAUUAAAUAACCUUCUUAGGCAGCGAUCUCAAGUUUGCAGCCUUCCCC
This 393-nucleotide long non-coding RNA is filed under the name Brassica napus (rape). RNAcentral describes it as "long non-coding RNA (BNAP_LNC018230)". Lineage: Eukaryota; Viridiplantae; Streptophyta; Magnoliopsida; Brassicales; Brassicaceae. The record is from RNAcentral.